UACGAGGGGGGCAAGUGUUGUUCGGAAUUACUGGGCGUAAAGGGCGCGUAGGCGGGCUCUUAAGUUGGAUGUUUAAAACCGGGGCCUAACCCCGGCGUGGCAUCCAAAACUGGGAGUCUUGAAUGGGACAGAGGCCAGUGGAAUUAGAGGUGUAGCGGUGGAAUGCGUAGAUAUCUCUAAGAACACCAGUUGCGAAGGCGGCUGGCUGGGUCCACAUUGACGCUGAGGCUCGAAAGCGUGGGGAGCAAACAGG
RNAcentral lists this ribosomal RNA (253 nucleotides) under uncultured bacterium. RNAcentral describes it as "partial 16S ribosomal RNA". It matches the Rfam family "Bacterial small subunit ribosomal RNA", at positions 524 to 776 of the family's 1533-position model. The record is from RNAcentral.